RNAcentral lists this unclassified non-coding RNA (337 nucleotides) under soil metagenome. Its description in RNAcentral is "partial contains 5.8S ribosomal RNA, internal transcribed spacer 2, and large subunit ribosomal RNA". The stretch from base 1 to 120 matches the Rfam family "5.8S ribosomal RNA", at positions 35 to 154 of the family's 154-position model. The record is from RNAcentral.
GAUGAAGAACGUAGCGAAAUGCGAUAAGUAGUGUGAAUUGCAGAAUUCAGUGAAUCAUCGAAUCUUUGAACGCACAUUGCGCCCCAUGGUAUUCCGUGGGGCAUGCCUGUUCGAGCGUCAUUUACCCCCUCAAGCUCCGCUUGGUGUUGGGCGUCUGUCCCGCUUCGCGCGCGGACUCGCCCCAAAGGUAUUGGCAGCGGUCGUGCCAGCUUCUCGCGCAGCACAUUGCGCUUCUCGAGGCACCGGUGGGCCCGCGUCCAUCAAGCUCACCCCCCCGGUUUGACCUCGGAUCAGGUAGGGAUACCCGCUGAACUUAAGCAUAUCAAUAAGCGGAGGA